Long non-coding RNA from Cylas formicarius (sweet potato weevil), 541 nucleotides. RefSeq lists it as uncharacterized. The record is from RefSeq and is a predicted model, not a curated record. NCBI's taxonomy places the organism in Eukaryota, Metazoa, Arthropoda, Insecta, Coleoptera, Brentidae. The transcript has 4 exons.
GUUAACUUUUAGAAAGUAUUCUCGCACCGUAUAAAUACAUCUCAUUUUUCUCUGUUUUGUCAGUAGUUGUUUUUGGUAUUAUUCGUGCAACGUGGAAGCUAACUUAGUGGUUUGGUGUUCGUACAAAAAAGCAGUCCUAAAGAUCAUCUUAGUACUCUCAACCCGUAACCGCAAAUAGAAUAGCAGCAAUCUUAAGCAUGGACUUAAGUCAACUGAAUCAAACCUGUCUUGCAGAAGGUGAUUUUGAGCAGCCGAUUGUCAAACUGCAUGAAUUGCCGAUAGGCGUUCCGUUUAAAAUUACUAGAGCCAAAAUUGUUAAUACAAAAUUUGGCAAUUCCGUGUUGCUGCAAUUAGAAAAUUCCGUAGUAUUUCUUCCUACUCGCGUGACAGAAGCUUUCCGUCCGAGACUAGAACACUUUGCGUCGGGGCAGUACAAACUGGUCUACGAGGGAUCCAAAGAUAUUGGAAAGCCCAACUCUUUAAAGAAAUUCAAAAUAAUUCAAAAUUAAUCAACAUAUUAUACAGGAUUAUGGUCAAACAA